UGUUAUUAUAAACAAAUAAAUGGUAUAUCUUUAUACGAUGAAGAACUUUUUAAAUUUUCGAAUGUUUAUAUAAGUUUUAAAAAUAAUAUACUAGAACCCUUUUUCCCUUAUAUAUGUAAUAAUAUAUUUUUUUUGUUUGAAUAUUACAAAUAUUAUAUAAUAAAUUUAAAAAACUUAUUUUUAAAGAAUUUUGAAAGAAAGCAUUUAUUCAUCACUCGUAAUAUGUUUAAUAAUUUUGUUUAUAAUAGAGAUUGUCAAAAUAAAGAAAACGUUUGGAUUCAUAUUCCGAUUCAGUAUGAUACGAAAAAUAAGUUACAAAUGGCACCACAAAAGAUAAUGAAAAAAGUAAACACAGAGGUUAGAAACGGUUAUUUAGAUGAUGACAUACCUUUGAGUACAAAAGGUUUAGCUACUUGUGCUUGUGGGAUCCGUAUGAUGAGAAGUAAUACGGUGAGAAGUGAUACGGUGAGAAGUGAUAUGGUGAGAAGUGAUACGGUGAGAAGUAAUACGGACGUAACAGAUGAGAGAAAAAACAGCAGGGAUGCAAAAAACAUAGGAAAAAGCGAUGCAAAUGCAAAAAAUGCAGACAAAAGCAGUACAAGUAAAAUGUACAAUAUCAACAAUUUUAAAAUAAAAAAUUAUAUUAAUCAUAAGUUAUAUGAUUCUAUAUAUAAUAAAAUAGAAAAUAAAAAUAGAAAAAAAAUAAAAAGAAAAUUAGAAAAAAAACCUGUGGAUAUACCAAUUUAUUUAUGGGUAAUUUUAGGAGGAAAAGACAUGAAAUCAAUGGAUUCAUUAAAUAUGGUUUAUAAAAUAUUAAGAUAUGCUACAGAAAUACCACCAGAAGAUUAUAAUAAAUAUGUAAGACAUUUAAAAAAAAAAAAAAUAAAAAUAAAUAAAAAAAAAAAAAAAAGAGUAUAGUAGUAAUGAUUGUGAUUAUAAAAUUGGCAUGAGUCAAAGUCAACGUAGUAGUAAGCAAAAUGAACAGGUUGACAAGCAAAACAAUAAACAACAUAUAAAUAACGAAAGGA
This 1028-nucleotide long non-coding RNA is filed under the name Piliocolobus tephrosceles (Ugandan red Colobus). RNAcentral's name for it is "lncRNA (ENSPTEG00000002934.1)". The record is from RNAcentral. Lineage: Eukaryota; Metazoa; Chordata; Mammalia; Primates; Cercopithecidae.